This 253-nucleotide ribosomal RNA is filed under the name uncultured prokaryote. RNAcentral describes it as "partial 16S ribosomal RNA". It matches the Rfam family "Bacterial small subunit ribosomal RNA", at positions 524 to 776 of the family's 1533-position model. The record is from RNAcentral.
UACGUAGGGGGCAAGCGUUGUCCGGAUUUAUUGGGCGUAAAGAGCGUGUAGGCGGCCAUACAGGUCAGCUGUGAAAACUCGAGGCUCAACCUCGAGACGUCGGUUGAAACCGUAUGGCUAGAGUCCGGGAGAGGAGAGUGGAAUUCCUGGUGUAGCGGUGAAAUGCGCAGAUAUCAGGAAGAACACCCGUGGCGAAAGCGGCUCUCUGGAACGGUACUGACGCUGAGACGCGAAAGCGUGGGGAGCGAACAGG